CAGUCCAUACUAAUUCCUGCAGGUUAAUGCCCAUACCUGUUGGGUUUCGCUUGUGGACCAGAUUGAACUGGGAAACCCUUAUAAAGAUAUGAGUUUACUGUUGGUCUGCUCAUAACAGGAGUUCUCUCAACACAU
Molecule: small nucleolar RNA, 135 nt
Filed under: Sphenodon punctatus (tuatara)
Lineage: Eukaryota; Metazoa; Chordata; Lepidosauria; Sphenodontia; Sphenodontidae
Source: RNAcentral